AUGUGCUGUGGAUCAGGCGUGGGGGCACUGUGCACAUGGCAAGGCACAUGGCUCCGGUUCCUGUUCUGGUUCACCCGGAGGCAGGUCCUUUCAUCCUUGUCUCCUUUCCGUCGCAAUCAUUUGCGCGCCAGUUGGGGAAAAUCUUUAAACAGUGACGCAAAUGCGGGCUGGCGUAUAAAUUUCACACCCAGCACCCACUCGUCGGACUUGGCAGACUGAUUGUGGCACUCAAGAAGAGUCCUCCAGUGGUGGGCCAUCACACCACAUUACGAAUGGAAACCGCUGGAAACUUGCCAGUUCGCUCAAGUUUGAUGCAAGCAGUUGCGGUCCUUAGUACGCGAUUGAUAUGGACUCAAGUCCUGCCGGUUAAUCACAUUGCCAUAGUGUGUUGUGCCUUUCAGCGAACAACAAGUUAAAGCAUCCCGAAUAAUUCGAAACAAACACGCACACAGGCCUGCCAGGCAAUUGCUUAUUAAAGUCCAAUUAUAAGUUUG
Non-coding RNA from Drosophila melanogaster (fruit fly), 494 nucleotides. Lineage: Eukaryota; Metazoa; Arthropoda; Insecta; Diptera; Drosophilidae. The record is from Ensembl.